UCCUUUAUCCUCCUGUUUCAAUAUAUGUCAAUACAUGUUCACUAAAUGACUAUUAUGUAUCCCUGUUCAAUUGUUUCCUCAUCAAUAUUAAAUGAAAUACAGUUUCUCCUUUACUACUCAUGGCUGGGAAAUUUGAAGUGUCUGAUAGAGAUACCUUUCAGCAGCAUCUUUUCCUUGGAAGCCCAUAUCUCUGCUGAUUGCUGGAGGUCUUCAAGGGUCGGGUAUGUGAACACAAGCCUUUUCUUAUUUAGAUUUCUUUUUUUAAAAACAAGAACAAAAAAAGAAAACAUGGGAGAAGGGACAAGGAAGGAAAAGCAGUAUGAAAAAAAAAGAUAUCCCAAAAUGCUUUAGUACAUUCUGAACUAAUGCACAGUGAGUAAAAGUAAAUUCUAACAUCCUAGAAGUUGUGACCAUGGGAAGCUUU
Molecule: long non-coding RNA, 424 nt
Filed under: Rattus norvegicus (Norway rat)
Lineage: Eukaryota; Metazoa; Chordata; Mammalia; Rodentia; Muridae
Description: long non-coding RNA NONRATT009956
Source: RNAcentral